Long non-coding RNA from Medicago truncatula (barrel medic), 2011 nucleotides. RefSeq lists it as uncharacterized. The record is from RefSeq and is a predicted model, not a curated record. The transcript has 4 exons. Lineage: Eukaryota; Viridiplantae; Streptophyta; Magnoliopsida; Fabales; Fabaceae.
AAAAAAGGAUAUUGAUAGGUUUCCAUGUAGCUAGGAAACAAACAGAGUCGCGAUAACACAGUUUCUUCCAUCAACAAUGUCUUCUUCAACCUUAUGCUUAUUUUCUGGAAAAAAACAACUUCGUAGCAAUAAAAAUAGCACACAUACAACAAUCAGUGAGAUGAAGCAACGAAUUUCUCAUGUAGCGGUAGGGAUUUGUCAAAUUUAAAAAGAUAUGUGAAAGAAAGUGAUGAGAUUCAAGGGUAAAAGAGACAAAUGGGGGUAUAUAGUUUCACGGUAAAGAUACUCGAUUCUGAGAAGCUAGGGAAAGCAGCUUCUAUAAAAAUCGAUUCUGGAAAAGCAAACGUACGACGGCGGUACAGUGUUGCUGGUGAACCAAACACUUUGAAAUUGCUUUUGACAGGUGAAACGCGCUUUGUAUUGCUUUCACCGGGCAACCAAACUAAUGCUAAGAAACUCCAUCAAAUCAACACAGAUAUGUGUUCAUAUUGUUCUUCUUCAACCAGAUCUUCCUCAUCUUCCCAAAACCACAAAACCCAUUCACAAAGCCACUGAGUAAAUCUGUCACGAACAUCUUGUUCAAGAUCUGAUGAUGAUGAUGAUGAUGCUAUCGUUUGGGAUAACAAAAUCAAAAUUUAUCUGACUGUGAUUUCCUUGAUUAAAAUAGAAGCGUCCCCCAAUCAUAGACAUUGGGCCUAGAAUCAUUGUCAGUUAUCGCCGUAUGACUCUUAUGCAAAACGGAGAACAUAACAACAUAAGUGUUGCAGUAAUUGAUGUUCCGACCGAUCCAAAUAUUCUGAUAAGUCCAGGAGAGGGUGGAUUUCCCAUUGAAAACAAUCUUCACUUGAUGUCUGCAUUAAAUGGACUUGGAUUUGGGAUUGGCCCUGAUUUCCACAAGGUUUUUUCAACCCUCACAGCCGAGAGAUAUCUGAAGCUGUAGUUGGUAAUCCUCUUAUCCUUGAUUUGCAAGAUAUGAUGGUGAGCGUGGGUUAUGAUGGUAGUCGGUACAAAUUCUUAGGUCUGGUUGAGAUAGAAAAUCAUGGUACACAUGUAGUUGUUUACACUGUUGGUGCUGAUGAUGUUGGUGCUGAUGAUGAAGCUUGGAGACCCAAACAGUUGAUUCCUUGGCACCUUAGAACUGAUGAGUGGAUACGUAGUGCCGGAGCAUACAUUUCUGUUUGGUGAUUCAACUGUAGUGUACUUUCUCAGAUUUACAAUGGAUCCAGAAUAUGAGGACGAGAUUCUUUCGUUUAACUUUGAAACAGAAGUCAUGUAUAUGCCACUCCCUCACGAAGAAUAUCAAUCUCAUUCACUUUUAUGCGCUUUAGGCAAUAGGUUGUGUUGUUCUUAUGUGGCGUUCAACUCAUUGUCUAUAUAUCAACUUGUGGAUAACAUUUUAGGACUAUUACGUGUAACCGUGCUACCUAUAAUGCUGCCUCAUGUGUCACAUCGCCGUUUUCUACCGAUCCAUUUCCACAACAAUAUUUUGCUAGUGGCUUUUAGGCUCAAUUUUGAUAUCCCAUUAUUCGGAAAUAGAGACCAGCACUGUUUAAUUAUUGAUUUUGCUGCCAAUACAACAUCUCUCGUCAAUAGUCCUGGCGGUAUCAACCGGUUCCUUGCUAAACCAUUUGUGGAGAGUCUCGAAGUUUUGCCUUAUUGAGAUUAAUGUUACGCAUGAUGCUACAAGUGAGAAGGGAAGCAUGCAAGGACCCCCAAUGGAACAAAAGACAAGGAAGUCCAAAAGAACGGUCAAGCUCCCUAGCAAAUUCAAGGAUUAAAGAGUCUCUAGAAGGAUCCAAAGAUAAGACCAUUGAGCUAGCCUUAGUACCUGAAUAAAGGACAAAUUAUAUUAGCUAUUUUUAUUUUUAUUUUUCUUUAUGCAAAUUAAUAGGAUGUGGACACUUGUCUCCAUAUCCUUUUAUCUUGGGAUGUAAUGUUACUUCUGAUAGGACCUUAAAAGGAACCUAGUAUUCAAUAAAAGACUAAGAAAAUUAGUUCUCAAAUUCCUUUA